Molecule: long non-coding RNA, 1890 nt
Organism: Formica exsecta
Lineage: Eukaryota; Metazoa; Arthropoda; Insecta; Hymenoptera; Formicidae
Exons: 3
Source: RefSeq, a predicted model, not a curated record
AGAGAGAGAGAGAGAGAGAGAGAACGGCUUUCUCGUGAAGGGGAUAGUUCAUCGCGUUUAAGUGUCGGCAAACGAACGCCGCGCACCAGUGUUAGUGUGUUACCUGAAACGACAGAAGCUUAGCAAGGCGUGGUACCGUCAGCACGUUUCAGUACAAUGUAAACACGAAGGCCAGGUCGCGGACUCCAGUGUACUCGGCACCGCUGACGGGAACGGCCACGCGCGAAUUCCAGCUGACCUCUUCGUCGCGCGAUACGUCAUCGACCUCGAUUAUCAAAAUAGCGAAUUCUCGCGGUCGAAAUUUGAUUCUGAUAAAUCGUGCUCUUUCGGAAUAACGUGAAUCUCGAAUGACUUGGAAAUUUCACGAACUUUUGCCGCCGUUUGCUGAUGUCGAGGACUUUAAGAAUUCUGCGAGUUAAAACGUGCUCUUGAAGUUGACAGACUUUGGAAGUUAGCUGAGUGUUAACGGACGUGUGAAACUCACAGAAUUGAUAACAUUAACUUUGCAAAUAUUGAAAAUCGUACACUUGAAUAUGUUUUUAAUGUUUGAAUAUUACAUUUUUAAAUGGGAUUUAAAAAUUCAUUUAAAAUUUAGAUAAAGAGACAGAGAGACUUUUAAUUACUGAUAAAAUAUCGAGAUAAUAAAGAUAAACAAUUAUAAGUGAUAGAAAACGAGCAUACAAAUAGAUUGAAUUAAAUCGGAGCGCUAAGUUUUGUGCCAGAAGUGCAAACUUGCUUUCUUAACGUUAGAACAGUUGUAGAAAGACUUACGAACCUUCACAUAAAUUUGUUUCUGCGUGUCGCAAGCUGCAAGGCACGCAAGAAGUUGAUAACUUUGUCUCAAAAACUUUAGUGACAUUGGGGAUUUGCGAGGAAAAAUGGUGUGUCUGUGGAAUUCUCUGUGAGAUAAUGUAAAUAGGUGCAUAUUGCGUGAGCUAUUGUUGCGUGUCUUCUACAUAUUACGCAAUGAGCUUGUGGCGGUUUGGACCUUUCAAGGAUGGUAUGUAUUUCAAAAUAAAUUAGAGAGGGAGAGAGAUCCUUUAUGUGGUUCGUCUGAUUUAGUCGGUCAUCAUUCCUCGGUGUCUUAUUGUAAGUUAUAUAACAUACAUUUAAAAUUAUCACCUCGUAAAAAAUAGCUGUAGCCUCAUUGUCGGCGUAUUUAUUCAUUUAAAUUACGGCGAAUGCACUAUGUUCGCGUCAUCCUUCCCUGUUUCACCAAUCCAUCGCUUCGUACUUGCCACACCCACGAUUGUCAUCUCGAUUCCUAGACUUACGCAUGACUUACGCACAUACGUGUGCUCAUUUAAGAAAGCGCGUGGAAUUGAUAAAAUCAUCUGAUAUGAAUAGCAACUUUCGCUUGCCAUUCGUUGUAGCUCGUAACUACAAACAUGAUACAAUGAUUGAGAUUACAGGCAGAGAAAAGAGAGAAUUUAACAUUUUUUAAUUAUGGGAUUAUAACGACUGCAUUCUCAUAUAUUAUUUUAUAAUGCUAUAGGGAAAAAGUCCGCUCGUAAUCUCUAAAUUAAUAUCAAAUUUAAAUAAAAAGGUCUUUGAAAAGCGAAAAACAUGAAAUUUUGAAGACGCAUAUUUAUUUACAUGUGUCAAUACAUCAACAUUCCAUUCUACUUAAGAUAAAUAAUCAUACAAUUGUAGUGUCUUAGCAAAGUAUCGAUACUCAGAUAAACAGAUCUCUGACGUGAAAUAAAUCCCGAAGUUAAGAGCAUAAAAGAUAAAUACGCGAGGUUUGAGAUAUAAUUCAAACUUUUUAAAAUAUAUCUAAUUAAAUUAAAAAAAAAGAAAGAAUAAUUUACAAUCUCUUUAAUUAAAUUAAAAAAAAAAGAAAGAAUAAUUUACAAUCUCCCUCGCGCACCCACGUGCACAGUUAUAACU